This 425-nucleotide ribosomal RNA is filed under the name uncultured bacterium. RNAcentral's name for it is "partial 16S ribosomal RNA". It matches the Rfam family "Bacterial small subunit ribosomal RNA", at positions 359 to 775 of the family's 1533-position model. The record is from RNAcentral.
GAAUAUUGGACAAUGGGGGGAACCCUGAUCCAGCCAUGCCGCGUGUGUGAAGAAGGCCUUUUGGUUGUAAAGCACUUUAAGCGAGGAGGAGGCUACCUGGAUUAAUCAUUUAGGAUAGUGGACGUUACUCGCAGCAUAAGCACCGGCUAACUCUUUGCCAUCCGGCGCGGUAAUAAAGAGGGUGCGAGCGUUAAUCGGGUUUACUGGGCGUAAAGCGUGCGUAGGCGGCCAAUUAAGUCAAAUGUGAAAUCCCCGAGCUUAACUUGGGAAUUGCAUUCGAUACUGGUUGGCUAGAGUAUGGGAGAGGAUGGUAGAAUUCCAGGUGUAGCGGUGAAAUGCGUAGAGAUCUGGAGGAAUACCGAUGGCGAAGGCAGCCAUCUGGCCUAAUACUGACGCUGAGGUACGAAAGCAUGGGGAGCAAACAG